This 253-nucleotide ribosomal RNA is filed under the name uncultured bacterium. RNAcentral describes it as "partial 16S ribosomal RNA". It matches the Rfam family "Bacterial small subunit ribosomal RNA", at positions 524 to 776 of the family's 1533-position model. The record is from RNAcentral.
UACGAAGGACCCAAGCGUUAUCCGGAUUUAUUGGGUUUAAAGGGUGCGUAGGCGGAUUAAUAAGUCAGUGGUGAAAGCCCAUCGCUUAACGAUGGAAUUGCCAUUGAUACUGUUAGUCUUGAGUAUGGUUGAGGUGGGCGGAAUGUGUCAUGUAGCGGUGAAAUGCUUAGAUAUGACACAGAACACCAAUUGCGAAGGCAGCUCGCUAAACCAUAACUGACGCUGAGGCACGAAAGCGUGGGGAGCAAACAGG